Talpa occidentalis (Iberian mole) is the source of this 1212-nucleotide long non-coding RNA. RefSeq lists it as uncharacterized. The record is from RefSeq and is a predicted model, not a curated record. Lineage: Eukaryota; Metazoa; Chordata; Mammalia; Eulipotyphla; Talpidae. The transcript is spliced from 3 exons.
UGCACCCUGAGAAAGUAUAUAACGAGCACGAAGACAAUAAAGAUUCACUGCAGGCUGGACAUGACAGUCCCCCGUGUCUGAUUUCCCUCCCCGUCGUGUCCCAGGUCCAGGACUCACCAGAAGUCCACAAGUGGCGCCAGAACAGGGACCUGAAGGGAACCUACCACUAAAGUGACGAGGUGACGAUGGUGGCGGUGAAAGUUUGCAAAAGGUGGACUGGCCAACCCGAAAAAAGAAAAAACCCCGGUGGAGUCUGAUGGAUCCUCCGAAACAAUAUGGACACCUCUUCCGCUCAUCCUGCCCGGGAUCCCGGCCCUCCAAGAGACUGCCCCAGACUCCAGACGAAAUCACCAUGGGAGACCCUCCAGCGUCUCCUCAGCCACUUCUGUGGGAGACACAGAAGCCAUUAAUCCAGAGCAGGGCCCGUCUUUUGUUAUAAAGAAAAAGAAGGUCACCAAUAGUCCUGUUGCUCCCAUUGCAUGGGGCAGUGUCAAGGCACUCAGCAACCACGGUGAAUGGUGAAUGAGUUCUCCGCAAACAGGGAGCUCCAAUAACCCGGGAAAAUAUGUUCCUUGCUAUGGUGGCAGUCAUCACUUGUGCCUCUGCCGUAGGUGCCAACUAAACACAUGUAUAUUUGGCAUGUAUUCCAUAUCCCCCAUUGUUACAGGUGGUAGAAAGGGGGCACAUUGGGCCUGUCGAUUUCGCCAACGACACUCAACAUAUGCCUGGGCCAUGGUCAAAAGAGGAAUCUUCUCGUCCUGAUGAGGAGGAGCGUAGUUUUGAUUUUACCUUAGGAUAUGAACACCUUCCCCUGUGUUGGUGUACACCUUGCACACCCAUUGCCCCACAGACCUGGGUUAAUACUGCUCCUCCUAUUAAAAUCGAUGAUCAAUCAGGCUCGCAGGUUCAUACGCUUAUGGAUAUGUAUGUUGCUCUUUCUUUUAAUUUUACUGAAGUGAACACAAUGUCCAAGGCACGAGGUAAUAAGCUGGUUUGUCGACAAAUUUCAUAUAAGAAUUAUACAUAUUCCCCUACUUUUUGGAAUCAGUGCCAUGGAUUAAAAGGAAAAUUGUUAAAUUCAGGGAAUUAUACUUUUGUUGAUUGGGGACCUCAUGGGAAGUUUUUGACUCUGGUGAAUCCUCUCAUCCCAAGCAUGUCUGGCCUGCACCCCAGCUCUUGUAUGCAUAAUAAAUAAAUCUUUAGAAAAAUGCU